This 331-nucleotide ribosomal RNA is filed under the name uncultured Ruminococcus sp. RNAcentral's name for it is "bacterial SSU rRNA". It matches the Rfam family "Bacterial small subunit ribosomal RNA", at positions 8 to 339 of the family's 1533-position model. Lineage: Bacteria; Bacillati; Bacillota; Clostridia; Eubacteriales; Oscillospiraceae. The record is from RNAcentral.
AGAGUUUGAUCCUGGCUCGAGGAUGAACGCUGGCGGCGUGCAUAACACAUUCAAGUCGAACGGUGAAGUACCUUCGGGUGCGGAUCAGUGGCGGACGGGUGAGUAACGCGUGAGCAACCUGCCCUGGAUUGAGGGAUAACACAGGGAAACUUGUGCUAAUACCUCAUGACGUAUACUUAUCGCAUGUUAGGUAUGCCAAAGAUUUAUUGAUACAGGAUGGGCUCGCGUAUGAUUAGGUAGUUGGUGAGGUAAGGGCCCACCAAGCCUACGAUCAUUAGCCGAACUGAGAGGUUGAACGGCCACAUUGGAACUGAGAAACGGUCCAGACUCC